RNAcentral lists this unclassified non-coding RNA (275 nucleotides) under Hevea brasiliensis (rubber tree). The record is from RNAcentral. Lineage: Eukaryota; Viridiplantae; Streptophyta; Magnoliopsida; Malpighiales; Euphorbiaceae.
AAAUCAAGCAUGCACAAGCCAUCAAAGCGCAAACUCACUGGAUCUCCGGAGAACGACUUUUCCCAGUCUCCACUUUCACCACCUCGCCUUACCCAAGAGCAAGAAUUCGCCGUCAUGGUCACAGCCCUGAAAAAUGUUGUCUCCGGUUGCGUCACCACCAACAGUACAGCGGCAUUAACGGAUUUCUCGCAGGAGUUGUUUCGCCUUCAGUUCUCUACCACUGUUGCUACUUCAUCACAGUUCGCUGCUAGUUCUUCCGCUACUGUUACAGCUGG